UGGGGGAUAUUGCACAAUGGGCGAAAGCCUGAUGCAGCGACGCCGCGUGGGGGAUGAAGGCCUUCGGGUUGUAAACUUCUUUUGCUCUGAACAAGGCAUGCCUUUGGGGUGUGUUGAGUGUAGGGGUUGAUUAGCGCCGGCUAACUACGUGCCAGCAGCCGCGGUAAUACGUAGGGCGCGAGCGUUGUCCGGAAUUAUUGGGCGUAAAGGGCUUGUAGGUGGCUGGUUGCGUCUGUCGUGAAAGCUCAUGGCUUAACUGUGGGUUUGCGGUGGGUACGGGCUGGCUUGAGUGCAGUAGGGGAGGCUGGAAUUCCUGGUGUAGCGGUGGAAUGCGCAGAUAUCAGGAAGAAUACCGGUGGCGAAGGCGGGUCUCUGGGCUGUUACUGACGCUGAGGAGCGAAAGCGUGGGGAGCGAACAGG
This 420-nucleotide ribosomal RNA is filed under the name Fusobacteriota bacterium. RNAcentral's name for it is "Fusobacteria bacterium partial 16S ribosomal RNA". It matches the Rfam family "Bacterial small subunit ribosomal RNA", at positions 355 to 776 of the family's 1533-position model. The record is from RNAcentral. Lineage: Bacteria; Fusobacteriati; Fusobacteriota.